AAUUCCAGGUGUAGCGGUGAAAUGCGUAGAGAUCUGGAGGAAUACCGGUGGCGAAGGCGGCCCCCUGGACGAAGACUGACGCUCAGGUGCGAAAGCGUGGGGAGCAAACAGGAUUAGAUACCCUGGUAGUCCACGCCGUAAACGAUGUCGACUUGGAGGUUGUGCCCUUGAGGCGUGGCUUCCGGAGCUAACGCGUUAAGUCGACCGCCUGGGGAGUACGGCCGCAAGGUUAAAACUCAAAUGAAUUGACGGGGGCCCGCACAAGCGGUGGAGCAUGUGGUUUAAUUCGAUGCAACGCGAAGAACCUUACCUGGUCUUGACAUCCACGGAAGUUUUCAGAGAUGAGAAUGUGCCUUCGGGAACCGUGAGACAGGUGCUGCAUGGCUGUCGUCAGCUCGUGUUGUGAAAUGUUGGGUUAAGUCCCGCAACGAGCGCAACCCUUAUCCUUUGUUGCCAGCGGUCCGGCCG
Molecule: ribosomal RNA, 468 nt
Filed under: Escherichia coli
Lineage: Bacteria; Pseudomonadati; Pseudomonadota; Gammaproteobacteria; Enterobacterales; Enterobacteriaceae
Description: bacterial SSU rRNA
Rfam family: Bacterial small subunit ribosomal RNA
Source: RNAcentral